GGGGAUGUAGCUCAGUUGGUAGAGUGCUUGCUUUGCAUGCACAAGGCCCUGGGUUCAAUCCCCAGCACCACAA
RNAcentral lists this transfer RNA (73 nucleotides) under Sciurus carolinensis (gray squirrel). It matches the Rfam family "tRNA". From Rfam's summary of the family: Transfer RNA (tRNA) molecules are approximately 80 nucleotides in length. Their secondary structure includes four short double-helical elements and three loops (D, anti-codon, and T loops). The record is from Rfam by way of RNAcentral. Lineage: Eukaryota; Metazoa; Chordata; Mammalia; Rodentia; Sciuridae. RNAcentral also lists the same sequence under 2 other names.